RNAcentral lists this ribosomal RNA (253 nucleotides) under uncultured bacterium. RNAcentral's name for it is "partial 16S ribosomal RNA". It matches the Rfam family "Bacterial small subunit ribosomal RNA", at positions 524 to 776 of the family's 1533-position model. The record is from RNAcentral.
UACGUAGGGGGCAAGCGUUGUCCGGAUUUAUUGGGCGUAAAGAGCGUGUAGGCGGUUAGGUAGGUCCGUUGUGAAAACUCGAGGCUCAACCUCGAGACGCCGAUGGAAACCAUCUGACUAGAGUCCGGAAGAGGAGAGUGGAAUUCCUGGUGUAGCGGUGAAAUGCGCAGAUAUCAGGAAGAACACCCGUGGCUAAGGCGGCUCUCUAGUACGGUACUGACGCUGAGACGCGAAAGCGUGGGGAGCAAACAGG